AAAAGAUGGAGGUUCUUUUGAUGAACAUGUUUGAGAAAGAGUUAAGUGACAGUGACUUUGAAGAUGAUCCUGAACAAUAUGAAGUUGCACAUCCAACACAGCUGUGUCUAGAAACUGUUGUUUAAUUUUUUUUCACUAUGAAUACCUCACCCAGAAGUUGCAUUUAAGACAUUUUCUUCCAGUUUACUCUUAUGCAGUCCAUUUAGACACUUAAAAAUUCAUUUGGUCAUUUUUAUAUACUGAUACCAGUCACUUAAUCAAUAUUGUGCUCACAAAUUCAUAUAUUAAGUAUUACUUGUGAAUUUACAGACAUUUUAGAAUGACAUUCAUUGCCUUUCACAGACUAUGUGUGAGACAUCAUUUUGAACAAGUACCAUUUUUACUCACAAAUUUUUGUAAACUAAGACCCACCAAAAAGUGGUCCAUGUAAAUGCAUCUCAAUUCCCAGAAUAUCACUUUAGAAAGCUUGGAAUUAAAGCAUUUACAGCUUUUAAAAGUUGUUUUGUGUUGUUUUUAUGACUCAGAAGUGAUUUAUCAAUAAACCAAAAGUUACGUGUAUGUGGAACAUGAUAUAAAAUGAGAAUUUGAAUAAAAUGUGUAUUUCUGCAAAACCUUAUAUACCGGUAGACAUAAAGAACAGCACAAAUCAUCAUCAACCUCACAAUGUUAAUACUUCACUUUACUUGAUAUACUUCACUUAACAACAAUAGUGAAUGUGAAUGUGAAAUUAGUUUUGUUUGAUCUCAUUUUUUGAUAGUUAAUAAGUUUUCAUUUACAAUAGAUCCAUGCACAUAAUGAAUUUAUCUUUUGGCUGUUUUCUCUGUUCACUCUGACAGUCUUGGUCACAACUGAAUUACCUGUUCAGGUGAAGGUGAACAGGUAAUUACCUCAGUUUUGAUGAUGACUUGUUAGUCAAAAGAAGGAAAAACACACCAUGAAGAGAAAUGAAGGAGCACACAAACUGCUUCAUGUGUAUGAUGAUAUUCUCAAACCCACCCUCAGGGGUGGGGGCCAGAGGCACUAACAAGUCAUCAUCAAGACUAAAGUAAUUACUUAGCUGUUGACCUUCACCUGAACAGGUAAUUUAGUGGUGACCAAGUCUGUCAGAGUGAACAGAGAAAACAGUCAACAGAUGCAUCCAUACCCUAUAAUGCUGGUUUGAGCUGUGGCAUUAUGUACAUGUAGAUGGGCAAAACAGACACAUGGAUGAACUUCAGGAUUUUAUCAUUGUCUAUUUAUUAUUAAGGGAGAUAGAUUAUGUCUGAGAUAAGAAUGGUGAAGCCCAUCCAGUUCUUUUACUGCUCCUAAAAGCAUGAUUUAUGGUUGGGGUGUAUUGGGAAAAGGCAGUGCUGAAAAGAUGGGAGACCAACAGCAUUUUGAGAUCCAGCGAGCAUUGAAAUACACUGACUUCAUGGAGGAAAAUCUACCAUUAUCUUUGGUAAAAGAUGGAAACAGCAAUGGAGCAUAUUACAUGAUGGAUGAUGAUCACAGAAAAAAUAUUCAAACAUAUCCACAUGAAGUGGGAAAUAGGCCAAAUGAAUGGAGUCUGGAUCUAAUUUCAAAACCACGAUCUCGAUCACUUUGCACCCCAUAUAACAAUUUAGCUUUUGUGCAAGAAGUGGAAAUUGAUCUAGAAGGGGAGCAGCGUUGUGAAUUACCAACAAGGCAGAGAUCCGUUUCAUUUGAUUUGGUAGAUGAAGAUCCAUCCAGAUUAAUCCGAAACACAUAUGGCCAUUGUCCUGAAAAUGAGAUGCCAAGGGGCUAUAUUAAAAUACAUAAAUCCCUUCCAAAUGGAUUUUCAUCAGCUUCCAAUCUAGAUAUUUUUUCAAAUGGUGUCAGACCUGCAUUGCAUAGAAGCUCUUCGGUUGGGUCAUUUUCACGGUUCCCUGCCCCACUGAGAAGAACUAACAGUGUUGUGUCCACCACCAGCACAUAUCCUGAGCUUACA
Molecule: long non-coding RNA, 1948 nt
Organism: Lingula anatina
Lineage: Eukaryota; Metazoa; Brachiopoda; Lingulata; Lingulida; Lingulidae
Source: RefSeq, a predicted model, not a curated record